AAGGAAAUAGGUUAAUUAAACCAUUGGAUUUCAAGUCCAAAAAUAGUUUAUAUUCUUUUCCUUG
RNAcentral lists this transfer RNA (64 nucleotides) under Runcina aurata. RNAcentral's name for it is "tRNA-Trp". It matches the Rfam family "tRNA". Rfam says of the family: Transfer RNA (tRNA) molecules are approximately 80 nucleotides in length. Their secondary structure includes four short double-helical elements and three loops (D, anti-codon, and T loops). Further hydrogen bonds mediate the characteristic L-shaped molecular structure. tRNAs have two regions of fundamental functional importance: the anti-codon, which is responsible for specific mRNA codon recognition, and the 3' end, to which the tRNAs corresponding amino acid is attached (by aminoacyl-tRNA synthetases). tRNAs cope with the degeneracy of the genetic code in two manners: having more than one tRNA (with a specific anti-codon) for a particular amino acid; and 'wobble' base-pairing, i.e. permitting non-standard base-pairing at the 3rd anti-codon position. Lineage: Eukaryota; Metazoa; Mollusca; Gastropoda; Runcinacea; Runcinidae. The record is from RNAcentral.